CAGAAAACAGUGAAUCGGGAAGAAAAUCUCAUAGGAAAAAUCCCGCAUAGAGUCAAGUUGUCCGUGCGGGUGCUGGGCACUGGGCGUGUACGCAUGUGCGCAUAAUAGUCGCGGAACGUGUGCACAGUGCGCACAUCCCCUAUGUACACACGCAUGCACGGGACGUUAGGACAACGUGCACGUCCCCUCCGCAUGCAAGCACGCAUGAGAC
RNAcentral lists this long non-coding RNA (211 nucleotides) under Carica papaya (papaya). RNAcentral's name for it is "long non-coding RNA (CPAP_LNC006710)". Lineage: Eukaryota; Viridiplantae; Streptophyta; Magnoliopsida; Brassicales; Caricaceae. The record is from RNAcentral.